Molecule: long non-coding RNA, 1066 nt
Filed under: Calidris pugnax (ruff)
Lineage: Eukaryota; Metazoa; Chordata; Aves; Charadriiformes; Scolopacidae
Description: lncRNA (ENSCPUG00000019955.1)
Source: RNAcentral
CUCCCUUCCUGCAGGGAUUGCUUCCUGGCCAACAACGUGCUGGGAUUAAGCACUAGCUUUUCCUUCGAGAGCCACUUCUUACCCACAUCUUCCUCGCAGCCUCUUUACAUGUUGUUUCUUAUCUACACGCAACAGGACUUUCAGCUGCUCUGUUCAGGGCUUGGAAGAUAAAAGCCUGGGAGGGUGCAGCUAUUUCCCCCCAGGCCAGCAGCUCCUGCAAUAAACAGGGUAUGAAAUAAGGAGGGUCUGAAUUCCAUCCACGCUGAUGUUGGGCAUUUUCCCGUCAAUAAAACUGUGUCACGUUGGGACUACAGACGCAAAGAACCAAAUUCUGUACUCAUUCCCCUCAGAGGUUGGGAAUCUAAGAGGGAUACAUCCUUCUUUCCAUCUUUUCCCACUCAUUUCUUCUGACCAGUUCCUCACCAGCAAGAUUCUCUUGGAACUCACUUGGAACUCCUCCCAGCUACAUCUGCUUUUCCAGAGUCACAUUUUCUGAGCCAGCUGUGGGGUUUUAAAUUCGUGCAUAACUUCCCUGGUCUAACAUAACUUCCAUCUGAAGAUGGGUUUAUGCUGACGCUACUAUGCUGGAUGUUUCAAAUAUGUCACAGGAUGUUUCAAAAUUCUUUCCUUCCCCUUGCAAACACCCUGUAGUACCACAGACUAAAGCACAGCUCGACGUAUCAGCAGUUUUAAUUACAGCCGAGACACAAUUGCAAUAAGCAGGAGCUCCAGAGAGUAGCUGAAGAAUUACACGGAAGACUAAUGAGCAGGAAGUUUGAAGCCCAUCAAAGCAUGAAUGAAGGUCUGCAACAUACGUGUGGUGCUGCAUAAAGGAGGCUUGGCAGAGCAGGAGACAGGACAUUUAAAAGAUAUACAUCAUGAGUUCAACAUAUGGGACUGCUAAUGACUAGCCUGUGACUGUAUGCUUAGCAUAAAGUAAUGAAUCAAUUAGCACAUGAUAGGAAACCGUAACGAAUAGCAGAACAUAUGAAAGGAUGCAUAUGGGAGUGAUUAGGGGCAGAUGUAACUCAGAGCCUUUGGAGUCAGGAACAGCACUCACAUUUGU